CCUACGGGUGGCUGCAGUGGGGAAUAUUGCACAAUGGGCGCAAGCCUGAUGCAGCCAUGCCGCGUGUGUGAAGAAGGCCUUCGGGUUGUAAAGCACUUUCAGCGGGGAGGAAGGCGGUGAGGUUAAUAACCUCAUCGAUUGACGUUACCCGCAGAAGAAGCACCGGCUAACUCCGUGCCAGCAGCCGCGGUAAUACGGAGGGUGCAAGCGUUAAUCGGAAUUACUGGGCGUAAAGCGCACGCAGGCGGUCUGUCAAGUCGAAUGUGAAAUCCCCGGGCUCAACCUGGGAACUGCAUUCGAAACUGGCAGGCUAGAGUCUUGUAGAGGGGGGUAGAAUUCCAGGUGUAGCGGUGAAAUGCGUAGAGAUCUGGAGGAAUACCGGUGGCGAAGGCGGCCCCCUGGACAAAGACUGACGCUCAGGUGCGAAAGCGUGGGGAGCAAACAGGAUUAGAUACCCUAGUAGUC
Molecule: ribosomal RNA, 465 nt
Filed under: uncultured Klebsiella sp.
Lineage: Bacteria; Pseudomonadati; Pseudomonadota; Gammaproteobacteria; Enterobacterales; Enterobacteriaceae
Description: bacterial SSU rRNA
Rfam family: Bacterial small subunit ribosomal RNA
Source: RNAcentral